UACGAAGGGGGCUAGCGUUGUUCGGAUUUACUGGGCGUAAAGGGCGCGUAGGCGGUUUUGUAAGUCAGGCGUGAAAGCCCCGGGCUCAACCCGGGAAUUGCGCUUGAUACUGCGGGACUUGAAUCCAGGAGAGGAUGGCGGAAUUCCCAGUGUAGAGGUGAAAUUCGUAGAUAUUGGGAAGAACACCGGUGGCGAAGGCGGCCAUCUGGCCUGGAAUUGACGCUGAGGCGCGAAAGCGUGGGGAGCAAACAGG
RNAcentral lists this ribosomal RNA (253 nucleotides) under uncultured bacterium. Its description in RNAcentral is "partial 16S ribosomal RNA". It matches the Rfam family "Bacterial small subunit ribosomal RNA", at positions 524 to 776 of the family's 1533-position model. The record is from RNAcentral.